Long non-coding RNA from Pseudopipra pipra, 1164 nucleotides. RefSeq lists it as uncharacterized. The transcript is spliced from 3 exons. Lineage: Eukaryota; Metazoa; Chordata; Aves; Passeriformes; Pipridae. The record is from RefSeq and is a predicted model, not a curated record.
GAGUUGUGGAAGAUUUGCAGAUCCUGUAGUUUUGCAGUUGAAGCUGAUGACCAGCAGCUGACUACAGGUCUGGAGGCUGAGGAGCAAGUGGGAUGACUCUGAGCUGUCCAAGGGAGAUCUACAAGCAACUUGCAAGUUUAUAGGUGCACACAGAUUGCCUGGAAAAGUACCAGGCCAUUCCAUUUUUAAGCAGCGAUGAAGAAAGAUGGAAGCCUACAUAUAUCGUUCCAGUGUAAAAUCACACAGGGGGAACAAAAUAAGUCUGAGAAGUCUACAAUUAUUUGGAUCUUAAGUUUCUACGAAUUAUCUCAUAUUCUCCUUACGUCUGUGAGAUUAUCUGAGAUUCCAGAUAGGGAUAUUUCAGGCCAAGAAAGGAAGACAAUAAAGACUGGGAAUCCGUGAGAAAUCAAGACUGCAAUGCUGUAGGUUCUCAGCAUAGACUUGCAGGAAGACUAAUCAAAGGCUUUCCCCUGGCCACCACCAGAACCUUUAAUGAAGUCCAGCUGGUUGUUGUACUGCUUUUGGCUCCAUGACCCAUGUGUGUACUCUGGGAAGAGGGGGCUCAUGCAGAGUAAAUGGAUUUGAUGCUGCUUCAAGCCACGUUACAGUACUCAAGGUUUACAGCAUAUGGUUCCCAGAUUUUCCAGUGGAAAAUGUCAUUCAGACCUGCUGCUCCUUAGUUCUUCAUACAUCCUCUGCUAUGCUUCCUAUUUCACUAUGACCUACAAACCACCUGAAGGUUUUGGAGGAGAGGGUUGUGCAAAGGGAAAAGAUAACAUCAAAUGUUGCAUUCUUGGCUUAUUUUUCCUCCUGCUUCAUUACAAAAGAUGCAAAGCAGAAAAAUGGACACGCUAAAUGUAAAAAUAUCCAACAAAAAAUACCCUUUUUUUUUACAUUAGAAAAUAGAAAAUAAUGCUAUUAAACUUAUUUAUAAACAGAAUGAUGGAAGGUGUUUUUCUUUUUUUUUUCUCCUUACUUUCACUUGUAGUUUUCCUUCUAUCUCUGCAAACUGCAUCCCUGAAAAUUAAUUACAGAAAUACACAGCAACUGCAUGUCAAGAUGAUGUCUAUAUUUCAUGUGCAUUAAGUGAAUGGGGAAAGUUUCUCUGUGGAUACCUCUUCUGCUUUUUAAUAAAUUCUUUCUUUUGCCUGAAGAGAAUUAGAA